Molecule: long non-coding RNA, 1178 nt
Organism: Myotis myotis
Lineage: Eukaryota; Metazoa; Chordata; Mammalia; Chiroptera; Vespertilionidae
Exons: 4
Source: RefSeq, a predicted model, not a curated record
UCGGGACUUGUUGGAUCUGACACAAGUUCAGGAAUUCUCGGUACCUUAAGCCCUCAGGGCUGGGGUCCUCCUACCUGCCUGCCUCUGCCCUUCCUCCCUGCAAGGGGUGGGGCGGGAUGGUGUUGACGGUGAAAUAAAGAUCAAAGGGCAGUUCCGUGCGCGGCUGGAGAAGCGUCAGCCACAGCCCUGGACGCGUAAACAUCCUGAGAGGAGGGUCCUGGCGGUUCCUGAGCACUUGCUGCGUGUCAGACACAGGGGUUGCCCUCUUGCAAGUUGACCCGGAUUCUGCAGAGGAGGAAGCUGAAGAAGCUCUGGGAGGCGAGGGCACCUUGGCCUGGUAAUGGCAUUCAAACUUGAGUGGCGUUCUGCCCAUGUCCAAGUCCCUUUCCUCCACCUUGCUGCCUCCAGGAUAGGGGGAAUCCUGGAAGACUCCUCGGAGGAGGUGAUGUGCAAACUGAUCCUUGAGGAAGGAUGGAAAGAAACCCACCCCACAGAAUAGAGGGGGAAAGGCAUGGAAGGGCAUUUGUGAAGGAGAAACAGCGAGGCGGCACACCCAAGCACGAAGUGACAAUAACCGGCGCAUACUGAGUGCCUACUAUGUGCCAUUCACUCACUGAAUCACCGCCACAGCCCUGUGAGGUGGGAAAACUGACUGAAGGGGCAGUCCAAAGGCCACACAGAGAGCUGAGACAAUGAGAUUGUCAUUGCACAUCAGACCAGGAGGCCUAUCCAGGCCACGGGGGAUGGUACCUAACGUUCCUUCAUUAUGUGCCAGAAGGAGCCAUUCACCAACACUCAGUCUUUGCUGAUUUCCUUUCAUCAUGGAGUCAUUCAACAAAUAUUUCUCGAGCCCCUAUUGGGUGGGGAGAGCUGACCUCACACAGCCGCCCAUGGCAAAGACAGAUGCAUUCUGAGUCUCCCAGGCUCUUCCCUGAACCCCAAACCUUUUGACAACAGCCCUCUUCUGAACUCCCCCUGCACCAGGUAGAAUCCCUCCCUCGUGUACAGAGGCCACAUGCCCAGUGAUCAGGAGCUCUGGCUCUGGCAUCCACAGAUGGGCUCUUAGUAGAUGCUUAAUAAACAGCGACUGUAGCCUGGCUGGUGUGGCUCAGUGGCUGAGCAUCGACCUAUGAACCGGGAGGUCACGGUUCGAUUCCCAGUCAGGGCACGUGCCCCAG